GUGGGGAAUAUUGGACAAUGGGCGCAAGCCUGAUCCAGCCAUGCCGCGUGAGUGAUGAAGGCCUUAGGGUUGUAAAGCUCUUUCAGUGGGGACGAUAAUGACGGUACCCACAGAAGAAGCCCCGGCUAACUUCGUGCCAGCAGCCGCGGUAAUACGAAGGGGGCUAGCGUUGUUCGGAUUUACUGGGCGUAAAGCGCACGUAGGCGGGUCGUUAAGUCGGGGGUGAAAUCCUGGAGCUCAACUCCAGAACUGCCUUCGAUACUGGCGACCUAGAGUCCGGAAGAGGUGAGUGGAACUCCUAGUGUAGAGGUGGAAUUCGUAGAUAUUAGGAAGAACACCAGUGGCGAAGGCGGCUCACUGGUCCGGUACUGACGCUGAGGUGCGAAAGCGUGGGGAGCAAACAGGAUUAGAAACCCUGGUAGUCC
This 425-nucleotide ribosomal RNA is filed under the name uncultured bacterium. RNAcentral describes it as "partial 16S ribosomal RNA". It matches the Rfam family "Bacterial small subunit ribosomal RNA", at positions 354 to 796 of the family's 1533-position model. The record is from RNAcentral.